CCCUUAGAUGUUCUGGGCUGCACGCGUGCUACAAUGGCGCUUGCAACAAGUCUUGCCAACCCGAUAGGGUGAGCGGAUCUUUGAAGAGGCGUCGUGAUCGGGACAGUUGAUUGCAAUUAUUCGACUCGAACGAGGAAUUCCUUGUAAUCGCGAUUCAUCAUAUCGCGCUGAAUACGUCCCUGCCCUUUGUACACACCGCCCGUCGCUCCUACCGAUUGAGCGAUCCGGUGAAUGUUUUGGACUGGUGUCAGAAGCGGUUCGCUCCUGACACUACGAAAUUUUGUAAACCUUAUCGCUUAGAGGAAGGAAAAGUCGUAACA
RNAcentral lists this ribosomal RNA (320 nucleotides) under uncultured eukaryote. Its description in RNAcentral is "partial 18S ribosomal RNA". It matches the Rfam family "Eukaryotic small subunit ribosomal RNA", at positions 1470 to 1796 of the family's 1831-position model. The record is from RNAcentral.